ACUGACUGGGAGCCCUGCCUGGGCUCGGUCCUGCCCCUGCACACGCGUGUGUCGCGCACACACACACACACACACGCACAGAGCUUCUCUUGUGCCCUUCCUGUCCCAGCCUUCCUUGCACCUGUGGGUGACGCUGACUUGGCGCUGCUGUCCCUCCUCCUUCCCAGACGGCCCCUCUGCCCACAGCAUCUCUUCUGCAUGUGAGAUUAAUGUUCGAAACGAAUCAUCUGCUUCUCCCGGCUGCGGAGUCCAGGAAACAAAAGAUGGAUGGCUCUGCACAUGGGAGGGGGAUUAAUUAGGAAUGACAAAGGACGUUCCUGGGUGCCACUCACCUUGCUGCUGUUGCCCACCGUGGGACGUGCCCCAACAAGUGUGUGAUUGACAGGCUUCGGGGUCACGAAGCAGCACCACGGAGCCCUGUCCCUUCUUAGCAGCUUGGGGCCACGGGGCAGGAGGAGCUGGAGUCCCUGUCCCCACCUCCUGCAGCCCCUGGCCUCACCACAGUCCAGGGGUGCAGCAAGAGGAGGUGAAGCCAACUCCUCUCUCUAGAGCUGGGCGGGUGGCAGUGGAGCUGGGACAUGAGGGGUCCCCAGGAGGCUGCGAAGUCCUCAUGUCCCCACCUUGGUGUAGGCGUGAGUUGCCUGGGGAACUCAGGCAUGUCCUGGGCCUUUCUGAGCCUUGGGUCCUCAGCUUCAGAGUGGGGUGGAGCACCCUGGGAUGCAGGCGGCUCUGAGGAGGGACUUAGGGCCAGGGCCAGGGUGGUCCUCACCUGAGACGCUAGUAAUUGACCGUGACAUGGCCAGCUCCCUGGCAGUGGCCCCGGAAAGCCUGGCUUCUUUGGGGGUGGUGCCAGCGGGGACCGGCAGAUGGGUGCAGGACUGGGUUGCAGAGGGCUCUGCCUGGGGAAGGGGCCCGGGCAUUUCUGAUAGCCCAGGGAGGCUGCACCAGCCCCAGAGCUGGGGCAGCAUCACCGUCCCAGCCAGGCGGUGGCCUCCCCUGUAGGAAGGAGACGCCAGAGGGUCAAGAGGAGAAGAAAAGGCCUGGCCUGGCAGUUCCACUCCACCGGGCCUUUGCUCUUCUUCCCUCAGAGGGCUUCCGUGAUGGCUGCCCAGGUGGGCAGCAGGGUUCCUGCUUCAGUGUCCCCCAGGCCCCUGUCCUGCAGAGUGGGCCGCCUGGGGUCCUUGGAGAGCUGAGUUUCCCAGGGGUCUGGACGCAGCAGAGGGUGUGAGCGUCUUGGUCUAGGUUUGUCUCUGUGGCCUCAUCUGUAAAAUGGGCCCCCAGCCCACGUGGGCA
RNAcentral lists this long non-coding RNA (1293 nucleotides) under Marmota monax (woodchuck). The record is from RNAcentral. Lineage: Eukaryota; Metazoa; Chordata; Mammalia; Rodentia; Sciuridae.